GAUGAACGCUGGCGGCGUGCCUAAUACAUGCAAGUCGAGCGAACAGACGAGGAGCUUGCUCCUUUGACGUUAGCGGCGGACGGGUGAGUAACACGUGGGUAACCUACCUAUAAGACUGGGAUAACUUCGGGAAACCGGAGCUAAUACCGGAUAAUAUUUCGAACCGCAUGGUUCGAUAGUGAAAGAUGGCUUUGCUAUCACUUAUAGAUGGACCUGCGCCGUAUUAGCUGGUUGGUAAGGUAACGGCUUACCAAGGCAACGAUACGUAGCCGACCUGAGAGGGUGAUCGGCCACACUGGAACUGAGACACGGUCCAGACUCCUACGGGGGGCAGCAGUAGGGAAUCUUCCGCAAUGGGCGAAAGCCUGACGGAGCAACGCCGCGUGAGUGAUGAAGGUCUUCGGAUCGUAAAACUCUGUUAUUAGGGAAGAACAAACGUGUAAGUAACUGUGCACGUCUUGACGGUACCUAAUCAGAAAGCCACGGCUAACUACGUG
This 497-nucleotide ribosomal RNA is filed under the name uncultured bacterium. RNAcentral describes it as "partial 16S ribosomal RNA". It matches the Rfam family "Bacterial small subunit ribosomal RNA", at positions 28 to 507 of the family's 1533-position model. The record is from RNAcentral.